RNAcentral lists this ribosomal RNA (585 nucleotides) under uncultured bacterium. RNAcentral's name for it is "partial 16S ribosomal RNA". It matches the Rfam family "Bacterial small subunit ribosomal RNA", at positions 355 to 1375 of the family's 1533-position model. The record is from RNAcentral.
UGGGGAAUUUUGGACAAUGGGCGAAAGCCUGAUCCAGCAAUGCCGCGUGUGUGAAGAAGGCCUUCGGGUUGUAAAGCACUUUUGUCCGGAAAGAAAUCCUUGGCUCUAAUACAGUCGGGGGAUGACGGUACCGGAAGAAUAAGCACCGGCUAACUACGUGCCAGCAGCCGCGGUAAUACGUAGGGUGCAAGCGUUAAUCGGAAUUACUGGGCGUAAAGCGUGCGCAGGCGGUUUGCUAAGACCGAUGUGAAAUCCCCGGGCUCAACCUGGGAACUGCAUUGGUGACUGGCAGGCUAGAGUAUGGCAGAGGGGGGUAGAAUUCCACGUGUGGCAGUGAAAUGCGUGGAGAUGUGGAGGAAUACCGAUGGCGAAGGCAGCCCCCUGGGCCAAUACUGACGCUCAUGCACGAAAGCGUGGGGAGCAAACAGGAUUAGAUACCCUGGUAGUCCACGCCCUAAACGAUGUCAACUAGUUGUUGGGGAUUCAUUUCCUUAGUAACGUAGCUAACGCGCGAAGUUGACCGCCUGGGGAGUACGGUCGCAAGAUUAAAACUCAAAUGAAUUGACGGGGUCAUAGCUGUUUCCU